Molecule: unclassified non-coding RNA, 327 nt
Filed under: soil metagenome
Description: partial contains 5.8S ribosomal RNA, internal transcribed spacer 2, and large subunit ribosomal RNA
Rfam family: 5.8S ribosomal RNA (bases 1-120)
Source: RNAcentral
GAUGAAGAACGUAGCGAAAUGCGAUAAGUAGUGUGAAUUGCAGAAUUCAGUGAAUCAUCGAAUCUUUGAACGCACAUUGCGCCCCUUGGUAUUCCAUGGGGCAUGCCUGUUCGAGCGUCAUUAUAACCCCUCAAGCUCAGCUUGGUGUUGGGGCCUGCCAACUGGCAGCCCUUAAAAUCAGUGGCGGCGCCAUCUGGCUCUAAGCGUAGUAAUUUCUCUCGCUAUGGAGUCCCGGUGGACGCUUGCCAGCAACCCCCAACUUUCUAUGGUUGACCUCGGAUCAGGUAGGGAUACCCGCUGAACUUAAGCAUAUCAAUAAGCGGAGGA